This 253-nucleotide ribosomal RNA is filed under the name uncultured bacterium. RNAcentral describes it as "partial 16S ribosomal RNA". It matches the Rfam family "Bacterial small subunit ribosomal RNA", at positions 524 to 776 of the family's 1533-position model. The record is from RNAcentral.
AACGUAGGGGACAAGCGUUAUCCGGAUUUACUGGGCGUAAAGCGCCCGUAGGCGGCCUGACAAGUUGGACGUGAAAGCUCCCGGCUUAACUGGGAGAGGCCGUUCAAAACUGUCAAGCUAGAGUCUGGAAGAGGAGAGCGGAAUUCCCGGUGUAGUGGUGGAAUGCGUAGAGAUCGGGAGGAACACCAGUGGCGAAAGCGGCUCUCUGGUCCAAAACUGACGCUGAGGGGCGAAAGCGUGGGGAGCGAACGGG